AAACUCAGCUGAUGAUGGUUAUCUGUCAGAGUCGGUCAAGAUGUUUUACCUCCAACAUAAACAACUCCCCUGUCUGUCAUGUUUCCAGGCUUCAGAGGUUCGUUUGUGGAUCCAAGCUCGUAGGGUUCUGGUUCAGUAAUGAGCUCCAGCCUGCUGUGCACUGCGAAACCCGCUGCACGCUCCUGCGUGUCGCUCGGAGAGGGAAGGGGAAGUGUUUAUGUCUCCCAGGGCUCACACCCCUUCUUCCCCUUGCAAUCACGGCUGUAAUUUGUUUGAGUCGACGCUUUGAUUCGAUUUAAGCAGUGGAUAGAUAGGUUUUGGGUUUUUCUCCCUCUUUUUCUCGGCUGUCCGAUGUGCUGACAGCUUCAUGCUGCAGGGAGGAAGCGCCGCACCGUGCGCCCUGCGCUCCGACAUGGACCAACAGCACUGCCUGCUGUACUCAAAGCGACACAGCACAAAGAUCCAUUGAUUUCUGGGCCAAGCAGGGGUGCAGCAUCUGGGACGCUCUGGGCGGCGCCCGCCACAUUUUGCGGGCAACCCACCAGCCGGAUCCUACCUUGUUCACUGGGCAUGGACUAAGCUAUGGUACCAGACUUGUUGCUCACCUCCACCGCUGCUGUAGCAGAGAUAAGGAAAUCUCCAGACGUUGCCCAGUCCCACAGCGUAUCCCACCGUGGCCAAGAUGAACUCCAGCUGUCCACUCCACGUGGGUCUCUCAGCUCUUUUAUCCACCGAUCUGUCGGCGCUGGCUUUGAUAUCCGCAGGCUGAUGAUCACAUCUUCUCUCCUCAGACAGAGGCUCUGUGUUUUCGGCUCCACGCUCCAUCGCGGAAAUUGAAUAAAAAUAGAUGGGUUUGAUUAUAAAAAAAAAAAAAACGUCCGCUGUAGUAACGUCCAAAACAUAUACAAUAUGGGAUCAUAUAACCUAUAUAGAUAUAUACAUAUAGAUAUAUAGAUAUAGAUGAAGACACGAGUCCAAUUUAAGUGACACCAUCCUGAGCAGUGAAUCAUAUAAUCACCGCUGUCUAAAAAGGCCCACAAACUCCGCCCAUCAGGUUUCCCCUUUCUUUCAAUGAUCCUGUUACUACGUAACAGAGCCCACUCUUUCAUAACGCAGACACCUUCAGGUGUCGCGUUGCAGCGCGAUGCGCAUCAAACUGCCUAUGUGUAUGGGCGUUAUUUUAACGCAAAUACUUUAUUUUAUAUCAUUUGCAUUAGAAAAAUUGCUUAGUCAUUGGAUAAAUUUGCGUUUGUUGACGCGAUUUUUAUUUUAUUAGGCAAAUUACGCUCAGUUUGAUUUGUUAUAGGACCUAGUAUCCAAAAAACACGUGUGGAUGAAGCAGGUUACUUAAGAACAUAAUUUUUUUUUUUUCUGUUGUAAUCCUCUGACUAAUAAAUUAAUAGACUUAGUUAUAUUCUAUUGAGUCCCAUUAGGCUUUAACCCAAUUAAAACAUCAAUACUUUUAGGUCUAAUUGGUUUGAAUUAAGGCACAGUUAAUGGGAUUUGCUCCUUCUGUUGAAUGAAGGCGCGUUGAUAUCUUGGCAUUAUAGAUGUAGCCCUACCUCUGCAAAAUAAAAAAUACUCAUAAUACACAUACGUUUUAUUUGAAGCGUACUGAUGUCAUGAAAGGCUAUAUGUGGUGCAUUGUUCUUGCAUUUGUGCCUAUGUAAUUUGCACAUGUAUGUCAAACACGUGUUAUCUGCUUCCUGUGAGUUUUUCACUUUAUUCCCUCUUCAUGUUGUCUGGGCGUGUUUUUAAACCCAUUUCUGUUAUUAUAUUCUUCCAUUUUCCUCAUGGUCACUGCCUGCCUAUAGCGAUAGAACAGUCUCCAUGUUAAUAUAUGUAAUCCACACAUGCAUUGGCUCAUAUUUCACUCAAUGUGGAACCAUGUACAUGCUUCUUCCGGUUCACUAUACCGGAAUAAUUUUUAAAGUAGAUGAAAGUUAUCCGCACUGCAAAAAAAAAGAAAAAAAA
Cyprinodon tularosa is the source of this 1974-nucleotide long non-coding RNA. RefSeq lists it as uncharacterized. The transcript has 3 exons. NCBI's taxonomy places the organism in Eukaryota, Metazoa, Chordata, Actinopteri, Cyprinodontiformes, Cyprinodontidae. The record is from RefSeq and is a predicted model, not a curated record.